This 682-nucleotide long non-coding RNA is filed under the name Physcomitrium patens. RNAcentral describes it as "long non-coding RNA (PPAT_LNC006196)". Lineage: Eukaryota; Viridiplantae; Streptophyta; Bryopsida; Funariales; Funariaceae. The record is from RNAcentral.
UUGCACAGAUAGGAGUGGGGCUAGAUAGAAUAGAUAUAAAUUCAUUUUUGAAAGAUAUUGGUAAAAUAUAUUAAUAGUCUAUAUAAUAGGAAAUUCAGGAGGACGGAUGAGUGAUUUAGUUAUUAAAAGUGGUUAAUUACAGAAUUACGGUUAGAAUCUGGAGAAUCAAGGGAAAGUAUAUAGGAGUUAUAGAAGUUAAUUAAGGUGCCAUCGCUGUGAUAGUGUGAGCCGGGAUAAGCUUGGUGCUACCUCUUUUCUUUUGUUUGUUAUUUUCUUUGAAUAAAAGGAUUGAGAGUUUCUGAAUAUUGUGAAGUGAAUUAUGGAAUAGAAAUGUGAUUGGUAUUAUUUGAGAAGAAGAAAGAUUGAAUGCUGAAAUUUGAUUGUAGUUCAGCAGAGAGAAUAAAUCUGUGUUUGUAUGAAACACUGUAAUGUGAAUGGCAGUUCUGUGUGAAGAAUUCCAGUGAUUGGAACGAGGAUAAUUGUGUGCUAAAAGCUAUGAGGGUGCUGUAUUACAGAUGGAAAUUAUGAGGGUGAAUAUAUUGGUGGAAAUAACAGUUAUUGGUAUGACUGAAUUGCUAUAAGGAAGAGACCGAUAAGGUGAAGGAGGAGAUUAUAGUUUCUUUGUGUGUUCAGAUAUUGAAAAUAGAGACGAUACAUUCAGGAGGUAAUUGAUUGUGUGACC